This 255-nucleotide ribosomal RNA is filed under the name uncultured bacterium. RNAcentral describes it as "partial 16S ribosomal RNA". It matches the Rfam family "Bacterial small subunit ribosomal RNA", at positions 524 to 776 of the family's 1533-position model. The record is from RNAcentral.
UACGUAGGGUCCGAGCGUUGUCCGGAAUUAUUGGGCGUAAAGGGCUCGUAGGCGGUUUGUCGCGUCGGGAGUGAAAACCUACAGCUUAACUGUGGGCUUGCUUUCGAUACGGGCAGACUUGAGGCAUGCAGGGGGAGAACGGAAUUCCUGGUGUAGCGGUGAAAUGACGCAGAUAUCAGGAGGAACACCGGUGGCGAAGGCGGUUCUCUGGGCAUGUUCUGACGCUGAGGCACGAAAGCGUGGGGAGCAAACAGG